GACGAACGCUGGCGGCGUGCUUAACACAUGCAAGUCGAACGGAAAGGCCCUGCGUUUGUGGGGUUCUCGAUUGGCGAACGGGUGAGUAACACGUGUGUAUCCUGCCCUUGACUUUGGUGUAACUUCAGGAAACUGGGGCUAAUACCGUAUAGCAUCUCCUGCUGCAUGGUGGGGGUUGGAAAGUCUCGGCUGUCGGGGAUGGACUCGCGGCUUACGAGCUUGUUGGUUGGGUAGUGGCUUACCAAGGCUUUGACGGGUAGCCGGCCUGAGAGGGUGACCGGCCACAUUGGGACUGAGAUACGGACCAGACUCCUACGGGAGGCAGCAGUGGGGAAUAUUGCACAAUGGGCGGAAGCCUGAGGCAGCAACGCCGCGUGCGGGAUGACGGCCUUCGGGUUGUAAACCGCUUUCGCCUGUGACGAAGCGUGAGUGACGGUAAUGGGUAAAGAAGCACCGGCUAACUACGUG
Molecule: ribosomal RNA, 468 nt
Filed under: uncultured bacterium
Lineage: Bacteria
Description: partial 16S ribosomal RNA
Rfam family: Bacterial small subunit ribosomal RNA
Source: RNAcentral